Felis catus (domestic cat) is the source of this 85-nucleotide non-coding RNA. The record is from Rfam. NCBI's taxonomy places the organism in Eukaryota, Metazoa, Chordata, Mammalia, Carnivora, Felidae.
GCCUGGGUGGCUCAGUCAGUGAAGUGUCCAACUUCAGCUCAGGUCAUGAUCCUAUGGUUCGUGGGUUCGAAUCCCACAUCAGGCU